UGACAUCAAUAGCCUACAGAAAUUAGUCAAUUUUGCAAAACUAAUUAGAAAGCACUCGGAAAAUUAUGAUUUCGGUAAAUUUCGAUACCCAACUGCAAUAAAUUGUUCGAU
This is a long non-coding RNA of Cotesia glomerata, 111 nucleotides long. RefSeq lists it as uncharacterized. Lineage: Eukaryota; Metazoa; Arthropoda; Insecta; Hymenoptera; Braconidae. The transcript has 3 exons. The record is from RefSeq and is a predicted model, not a curated record.